This 448-nucleotide unclassified non-coding RNA is filed under the name Hevea brasiliensis (rubber tree). Lineage: Eukaryota; Viridiplantae; Streptophyta; Magnoliopsida; Malpighiales; Euphorbiaceae. The record is from RNAcentral.
GAAAUAUUGGGUUUCUACAUAAAGCUCUUUUACGUUGUCAGAGAAAAUUUUAAGGAUUUGAACCAACAUAUUUCAAAAUCAUAAAUGCAAAUUCUUUCUCCAUUCUAUUUUUGCUGACAAGUGAUAAAAGAAUUUUGGGAAGCAGGGAAUCCUCUUUUAAAUGGGACAUAAAACAUAAAUGAAGGAGAAAAAUGAGAUGCUCAUUUUUAAUACAGCAUAUGCCAAUUGGUUUCAAAAGAAAAGAGACACCAAUGCCACACAUGAAACAAAUACCAGAACAGGCAUUAACAUGCCAUCAAAAUGAAUCUAUCAAUGACUAAUUUUAUUUUAUUGGACAAAAAACUGAAAGCAGCACCAUAACCUCAGAACCAUAUGACAUAACUGAAUCUAAAGGCAAUGAGUUUGGUUAGAUGCAGGACAGACUCACCAAGUGAAUUCCAUCAGUUGC